UCCUGCCUCACACUCCCAGAGUGCUAGGAUUACAGACGUGAGCCACUGUGCCUGGUCGAGAAAUUUUUCUUUCAGCUUCCAACACCCAAGCCAUGGCCACCUUGCCUUCACAUGCAUCAUGGAGAAUUCAGCACUGGUGACCCCAACAGUAGAGCCCCCCAAUUUCCAGGAUACUCAAAGUCCUCAGCCUAGAGCGAGGGAGGUGACAUUCCCAGAGGCACUGCACCCUCCAGAAACGGGGUGUCAACAUGGCUGGAGUGUGGGAUAUUUGUAACAGCACCCAAAAUUCUGACUACAGAGGUAGACUCCCAGCACAGCAGACCUUUUAAGGUGACCAGGAGCCACCCGUCCAUGACCCAAGACGGGAAAGGCAGCAGCCACCGGGAGUACAGGGCUGUUCUCGGGUAAUGCCUGGUCUGGCUCCUAGAAACCAUUGUCCUAUCUGGAUGGUGGGAACCGUGUCCAGGUUAAAGUGACUUCUGUGUCGUUCUCCUCCUCCUCCCAUCCCACACCGACUAGAGACAGGGCUCUUCCUUUCCACUGAAGAUUCCUUGCCAGUCUGGCCACUGUGCUGUGGGCGGUGGGGCAUGUGCAGCCCACGGGUGAGAGGGAGGAUGAGGAGAGAGGAGGCCAGAAUACACUGAUCAUUUCUCUUCCUCCUGAGUUCUCUGGGCUAGUGUGCCGAGCUGCAGAGAGAGAGAGACGACCUUAAAGCGCAACUAGUGGACAUGCAGUGCCUCGCUGACAAGAUCCAGGCCUUUGAAGUCAGUGAGUUGAACCCAGCCUCUUCCUACAAGAUAAGCACUGGUACCUUUGGAGCCCAGGAGCUAUGCCCAAGCUGGUUCCCUCCUUUUCUAGCUAUGGCUACUUCUCGCCCCCUGCUCUUGCCCCCUCCUUACCCCAGUUUACAGAAUUAUCCAAAUAAUAUAGCUCUUAUAUUCUCAAAUUCUGUGUUCUGCCCUCUUCCAGGAGGGGGAGGAGGCGUUGCACUGGAGGGGAGGGGAGGGGCAUGGGCAGUGGCUACAUUUUGGAGCAUUUAAAGCACCGUACCCUGGCACUCUGUGCUCGGCCCUCUCCCUGUGGGGCCUCUGGGCCGGGAUCUGGGUAUCAUACCUGCUCUCAGGCUCACCAUAGCACCCUGGGUCUAGCCUCUGUAGGGCCCCUGACCAGCCUCAUCAGCAGGCCCUGUUCAUGGUCCCUCCCAGUGUCCUCCGAUUUGGGUGUCUCAAGGUUCCCACUGUGUGCCGCUCCUCCCCCUCCCUUUCAGCAGGAACUAAUUGACCUCCUGCCAGAGAUCCCACCCCUCUUUGCCUUCCUCGAUGGUUCGCUGUCCUGGUUCUCCCCCCUCGCCCUUCUUUUCUGUCACGA
Microcebus murinus (gray mouse lemur) is the source of this 1368-nucleotide non-coding RNA. The record is from RefSeq and is a predicted model, not a curated record. NCBI's taxonomy places the organism in Eukaryota, Metazoa, Chordata, Mammalia, Primates, Cheirogaleidae.